ACCAUGAGAGGGAGGCUGAAUGGGGCAGCUAGAACGAAGGCGGAAUCGCGGGCACGCGCCGAGAAAGAGGGCUACUAGGGGAUCGAGGGAGCGAGCUCGUUGGAAGGGCGGGGGAGCAGGUAGGCAGGACGUCGCUAGAUGCGUGUGCGUGGCUGGCAGCGCGCGUCCUAGGAAGUAGGCGUACGGGCGCUACCGGGGCGAUCCCGUCUGAGUGCACGCGGGCCGCGGGAGAGAGGCAGAGCGAGGGCGCCGCGGCCGAGGAGGAGGAGGAGGAGGAGUAGGAGCCCUCCGCAGGUUACCACCAAAGAACAUGAUUUUGGCCUAGGGGCUCCAGUAAAUAAAGCUGAGAAAUAUCAUAAUACUCCCCAAGAAGUGAGAAACCAAGAGAGACUCAUCUAUAUGCUAAAUUUACAGGUUAUAACAAUUAAAUAAACAUAUUGAAGAUCUCAAGCAGACAAAUCAUGACUUGGAAGAACAUGUUAGGAAAUCUUUGGAACUCAGAAAGGUGUUGACCAGUUAGAUAGAUGGUUUAACCAGCCAGAAUGUGCAUCUUUGUAAAGAAUUGAUUAAAGUAGACCAACUAACAGCACCUGGAAAAAGAGAGAAUUGUUGUUGGAUACAACACACAGGGACUUUUAAAUACUCAAAGACUGAAUUAGAUGCCAGCAAAAUAAUAUUGUAGUACUAGAAGAUAAAAUAAAGUCUUAGAUCUAUUUGAUUCCUUUGUCAAGCAAGACUUUAGGAGCAGACAAAUCGUCAUAAGAGUGAAGCUGCAAAUUUGGGAAAGAUGAUUCGAAGUAGAUCUAAAAGUCCUCGACGCACUUCUCCACCUCCUAGGGGAGCAAAUUGUGAUUCAGAGCUUAUGAAGACAAGAGAUCGUGAGGAACUUAGGUGUAUGUUGGAAAAAUAUGAACGUCACUUGGCUGAAAUUCAGGGUAACGUGAAGGUUCUCACAUCCGAAAGAGACAAGACUUUUCUUCUUUAUGAACAGGCACAAGAAGAAAUAGCGCGACUUAGACGAGAAAUGAUGAAAAAUUGCAAGUCUCCUAAGUCAACAUCAACAGCACAUGCCAUCUUACGCCGGGUAGAAACAGAAAGAGAUGUGGCUUUUACUGACUUAAGAAGAAUGACCACAGAACGAGAUAGUCUGAGGGAGAGAUUAAAGAUUUCCCAAGAGACUGCAUUUAAUGAGAAGGCUCACCUGGAACAAAGAGUAGAAGAAUUGGAGUCUACAGUUCACAGUCUUGAUGAUGAACGUCUAGAACAAAUGGCAAAUAUGACUUUGAUGAAAGAAACCAUAACUACUGUGGAAAAGGAGAUGAAAGCACUAGCACGAAAAGCAAUGGAUACAGAAAGUGAACUUGGCAGACAAAAAGCAGAAAAUAAUUCAUUGAGGCUUUUAUUUGAAAACACAGAAAAAGAUCUUUCAGAUACUCAGCGACAUCUUGCUAAAAAGAAAUAUGAGCUACAACUUACCCAGGAGAAAAUUAUGUGCUUAGAUGAAAAGAUUGAUAAUUUUACAAGGCAAAGUAUUGCCCAGCGGGAAGAACUCAACCUUCUUGGUGCGACACUCGGUGAUAUGGCUAAAGAAAAGGAAUGCCUGCAAGCAUGCUUGGAUAAAAAAUCUGAGAAUAUUGCUUCCCUUGGAGAGAGCUUGGCAAUGAAAGAAAGGACAAUUUCAGGCAUGAAGAAUAUUAUUGCUGAAAUGGAGCAGGCAUCAAGACAGUCAACUGAAGCCCUUAUCAUGUGUGAACAAGACAUUUCCAGGAUGCGUAGACAACUGGAUGAAACAAGUGAUGAACUUGCUCAGAUUGCUAGAGAAAGAGAGGCCUUGGCUCGUGACAAUGAUAAACUCCAAGAGGCAGUCUCUAGAAAUAAGCAGGAAAACCAGGUAUUAUCCAAAAAAUUGGCUGAAAGUCAAGCUGAGCUUAAUGAUUUAAAACAGAAGAACCAAGAGAAUCACAGUGAUAUUAAUAAGCUAAAAUCUUUAAUAAAGGCUGAAGAGGCUGAGAACCGGCAACUUAUGGAGGACCUCCGAAAGGCUGUUGAACAGGCUGAAAGCUGGGAAGCGAAAGCCCGCCAAACAGAGGCAGAGAACAACAAUCUCAAACUGGAACUUUUAAGUGCAGAGGCAGAGAAUAACAGGCUAAAAGAAAAAGUGGAGUCACUCAAUAGAGAGGUUGAGCAACACCUAAAUGCAGAGAGGUUGUACAAGUCUCAGAUUGCCACUUUGCACAAAUCCCUUUUAAAGAUGGAAGAGGAACUUCAGAAGGUUCAGUUUGAGAAAGUCUCUGCCCUUGCAGAUUUGUCUUCCACACGGGAACUCUGUAUUAAACUGGACUCUAGCAAAGAACUACUCAGUCGACAGCUUAUUGCCAAAGACCAAGAAAUAGAUAUGGUGGAGAAUGAGUUAGAUUCUGCACGAAAUGAAAUAGAGCUUCUUAGGAAUCAGAUGGCAAAUGAUAGAAUCUCCAUGCAGAAUCUAGAAGCUUUGCUGGUGGCCAAUCGAGACAAAGAAUACCAGACUCAAGUAGCACUUCAAGAAAAAGAAUCUGAAAUUCAGCUUUUAAAGGAGCACCUUUGUUUGGCUGAAAAUAAAAUGGCCGUCCAAAGUCGAGACGUUGCCCAGUUCAGAAACGUAGUAACACAAUUGGAAGCUGAUCUAGAUAUUACAAAAAGACAGCUAGGGACAGAGCGCUUUGAGAGGGAGCGGGCUGUACAAGAACUUCGCCGCCAGAAUUAUACUUCUACCAAUUAUUAUCACAUGAGCUCUACGAUAAAACCAACUCCUAGGUGUCAUUCACCUGACCGUGCCCUUCACCGCUCCCCUGAUCGAGGCCUAGACAGAUCACUGGAAGAGUAAGUGGUUCAAGGAUCCAUUCUUGUGGAAAAACACAUGGAGAUGUACCCUGAACAUUUAGGGGAGGAAUCUGACCUUUAGAGAUUUUUGACACAUGAAGGUUCUUCAUCCUCUGGAAAGCAAGGUUAAAAAACUGCACUCAAGUUUAUGCUAUAUAAUUGAUUUUAUCUUUUGAAUGCUUGACAAUGUUAAAUGUAUUUAUUGACCUCAAGAGAACAAACUCUGAAUCAGCUGUGGUGUUCUGUUUCAUACACCUGAUCCCUGUUGUUAUUAUGCCAUAUUGCAGAGUCUUGACAUUCAGAAGGAAAAAUGCAUAUGGCUGUAUCAAUCCACACAUUAAUAGUGAGUGUAAAGAAAAAGAUUUGCCUACUCCACUAUUGAAGGCUGUGGAAUAACAUUGUUCCUCGAGAGAAAAUAAAGAAACUUAUAAAAAGAGGGAAAA
Sarcophilus harrisii (Tasmanian devil) is the source of this 3302-nucleotide RNA transcript. It is a transcript of the gene named testis specific 10, with no coding region annotated. The record is from RefSeq and is a predicted model, not a curated record. NCBI's taxonomy places the organism in Eukaryota, Metazoa, Chordata, Mammalia, Dasyuromorphia, Dasyuridae. The transcript is spliced from 20 exons.